Non-coding RNA from Pelobates cultripes (western spadefoot toad), 432 nucleotides. The record is from the annotation of a GenBank genome assembly. Lineage: Eukaryota; Metazoa; Chordata; Amphibia; Anura; Pelobatidae.
AACGCUCAGAUCUCACGAGAGUUAACUCUAGCCCCGCAGGCUAGAGUUCACUCUCCACUGGACCACCAGGGAUGGCACAUGGCAGCAAGGAUUUACUAAUCUGCCAAAUCCCUCCAAACAUACAGCACACACACAUACAGCUCACACACACAGUACACUAGCCACACCCUCACAAACACACACAGCACCUUUAAAAAAAACACAACACCCUCACACAGCACACUAACAGCACCCUCACAAACACACACACACACAAACAGCACCCUCACAAAUACACGACACUCACACAAACAGCACCCCACAGGACAAACAUACACACACAAACACCCUCACACACAAACAGCACAGUCACAAACACACACACAAACACAAACACCCUCACAUCACACUAACAGCACCCUCACACACACAUCACACUAACAGCACACAGCA